AUCACCUGCGGAUCCUGUUAAAAUACAGAUUCUGAUCCUGUAGAUCUGGGGGUACUGAGAUUCUGCAUUUGUAACAAGCUCCCAGGUGAUGC
RNAcentral lists this microRNA precursor (92 nucleotides) under Tursiops truncatus (common bottlenose dolphin). Its description in RNAcentral is "miRNA (ENSTTRG00000024451.1)". Lineage: Eukaryota; Metazoa; Chordata; Mammalia; Artiodactyla; Delphinidae. The record is from RNAcentral.